CGGUGUCCUUCGGGGCCGAGCACAGGUGGUGCAUGGCUGUCGUCAGCUCGUGUCGUGAGAUGUUGGGUUAAGUCCCGCAACGAGCGCAACCCUUAUUCUAUGUUGCCAGCACGUAAUGGUGGGGACUCGUAGGAGACUGCCGGGGUCAACUCGGAGGAAGGUGGGGACGACGUCAAGUCAUCAUGCCCCUUAUAUCCAGGGCUGCAAACACGCUACAAUGGCCGGUACAAAGGGCUGCAAGCUCGUGAGAGUGAGCGAAUCCCAUAAAGCCGGUCUCAGUUCGGAUUGAAGGCUGCAACUCGCCUUCAUGAAGCUGGAGUUGCUAGUAAUCCCGGAUCAGCACGCCGGGGUGAAUACGUUCCCGGGCCUUGUACACACCGCCCGUCACACCACGAAAGUCGGCAACACCCGAAGCCGGUGGCCCAACCAAUUGGAGGGAGCCGUCGAAGGUGGGGUCGGUGAUUGGGGUGAAGUCGUAACAAGGUAGCCGUACCGGAAGGUGCGGCUGGAUCACCUCCUU
Molecule: ribosomal RNA, 520 nt
Filed under: uncultured bacterium
Lineage: Bacteria
Description: bacterial SSU rRNA
Rfam family: Bacterial small subunit ribosomal RNA
Source: RNAcentral